ACCAACCGAGCUCUGGCCCACCAUUUGGAAAUGCGGCCCAUGAUGAGCCCACCCCUGCUCUCGCCGUUCCCGUGCCCUCUCCUCCGCUUCCUCUGCCUCUACCACGCCCCUCGCCGCCGGAACCCUACCGCCGCGCGGAUCCCUCCUCAUACUUUCCGCCGCCGUCCCCUGCUCCUCCUCCCGGCCGCCAUGUCCUCCUCCGCCUCCACCACUGCCCCCGACUCCGUCGUCGCGGACCCCAGUGCGCUUGCUCGCAAGGUAGCCGCCAUCCGCGCCGCCGGACUCGCCAAGCUCCAGGUCAUCGCCGACUUCGACGGAACGCUCACGCGGUACUGGUACGAAGGCGCCCGCGGGCAGAGUAGCCAUGGACUGCUGAGGCAAGGGAACGAGGAGUACGACGCCAAGAGGGUGGCGCUGUACGAGCACUACCACCCCAUCGAGAUCUGCCCUGACAUUCCACUCCCGGAGAAGGCCAAGCUCAUGGAGGAAUGGUGGGAGAAGACUCAUGGUCUCCUUAUUGAAGGUGGUCUUACAUAUGAAGAUAUUAAAAAGUCUGUGUCUGAUGCUGCAAUUGCUUUCAGAGAUGGUGUGGUGGAGCUCUUUGAGUACUUGGAGGAGAGAGAUAUUCCAGUGCUGGUAUUUUCUGCCGGACUUGCAGAUAUAAUUGAAGAGGUCUUCAGGCAGAAAUUACAUAGAUCAUUCAAGAAUAUUAAGGUUGUCUCCAACAGGAUGGUUUUUAACGAAGAAGGUCGGCUUGUAGCAUUUAAAGGUAAAACAAUUCACGUCCUAAACAAAAAUGAGCAUGCCUUGGACAUGGCAGCUCCAGUCCAUGACAAUCUGGGGGAUCCAAAUGGAUCUAUUGAUGACUAUUCAUUGGUGAAGAAAAGGACCAAUGUGCUGCUACUUGGUGAUCACAUAGGUGACUUGGGGAUGUCUGAUGGUUUAAACUAUGAAAACAGGAUUGCUGUUGGAUUCCUCUGAAAAUCAUUCUAAAACCUCAAUUGAUGUCAUCGUACCGCUCGAAGGAAUGCAAACAUCGAGAAAUCCCUGAAGGAUUACUCCAAAGCAUUUGACAUUGUGUAUCUGAAUGAUGCUCCAAUGAGGGGAGUUGUUGAGCUCGUUUCCGAAUUAUGUCCUUGAUCCAAACUUUUACUGCACCGUCAGAAAAAGGAUUUUGCCCCCCUGAAUUGAGCAGCCCCUGCAGUCUGCUCUCCCAAAAAUCUGGGGAUUUCACUAUCAUGUUAACCAUCCAUGCUGGCUUCAUAAGAAGCUGUUGUACAGGCUCAUCGCAGGGCCAGAUAGCCCUUGGAACAAUGAUCAAUCUUCAGUUGUAAGCUAAUCCCAAUUCAUGUGAUGGAUCGUGGGCUUCAUGGAAUUUUAGCAUUAUUGUUACAAGCCUUUUUCCUGUCAUUUUUCAAUCUCCUAUGAUAGCUCAUUGAUUCUUGUUAAAGAAAAGGUAAUAUUAUGGGUGAAUUGUGAAGCCCUGCAGAGGUUAGCUGGCCAGAAAAAUAGCUGCAGGUGGAGGUAAGGUAGACUCCAUCAUCUCCCUGAACCUAAUUUACGCUGAUGAGAAUCCAAUUAAGGCUGAUCUUGUUCUGA
This is an RNA transcript of Panicum hallii, 1599 nucleotides long. It is a transcript of the gene named 7-methylguanosine phosphate-specific 5'-nucleotidase, with no coding region annotated. The transcript is spliced from 10 exons. NCBI's taxonomy places the organism in Eukaryota, Viridiplantae, Streptophyta, Magnoliopsida, Poales, Poaceae. The record is from RefSeq and is a predicted model, not a curated record.